Fukomys damarensis (Damara mole-rat) is the source of this 1702-nucleotide RNA transcript. It is a transcript of the gene named speedy protein E4, with no coding region annotated. Lineage: Eukaryota; Metazoa; Chordata; Mammalia; Rodentia; Bathyergidae. The transcript has 8 exons. The record is from RefSeq and is a predicted model, not a curated record.
UGGGGGUUGGCAGCCCAGUGGGCAACAGUUACUUCUCAGAGCUGUUCUCCACUCCUUAUUUGUGUCCUGACUUGAGAAGAGACAGUGGCUUGGGUUCAUCCAAAUUACAGAAGCACGGUGUGGACAGACCAGCACCUGUGUUCUGUGGAGGGCAAGAAGGCAUUUGGGAGAAGUUAUGGCCACUGGUGAACCACCUUGCCAAUCUGAGGACCAGAGUCCACAGCCCAUCUCUCAAGGACAUGCCCUGGAGGUGGUGAUAGCUGAUGAGAUCCCAAGACAGUCAGGCCUGCAGAAAGCAUCUGGCCUUCUGCCUCAGGCCUGUGCUCAGAAGAGGAAGCGAGACUGGUCCUCAGGGUCUGAGGAGGAGCUGCAUGAGGACCUGCUGGGUCACACUGAUGGAGUCCCCAGACAAGCACCCUACUUCAUGCCUCAGUCACCUGCCCACAGGAAGGAGAAGGACUAUGCCCCCUCAGAGUUGGAAUCUGAGGCAGAACAGGAGAAGGAUCAUCAGCGGGAAUCUGACUCAGCUCUGAGCCGGAAGCCCAGUCUCCAACUUCGGUCCACUGGCCACAAGUGGAACAGGGAGUGGUCAUCAAAUUUGGAGGAGGGGGAGGAGAUGGGACGGCCCCGGUACUUUGACUUAGCACCCAGGGAAGUCCACUGUCUCCCACCUCGCAAGAGGUGGAGGGAGUAUCUGUCCCUGUGCAGUGAGGAGCCACAGCAACCAUUAGAACCGCUAAGCCCUGUGCCUUCCACACACACAGGUGUCAGGGCAAAGCCUUGUGGCCUGAAAAAGAAGAUGAAGAUGAAACACCUGUCCUCAGUGCUGCCUGAGCACCACACAGCCUUUACCAGACUGCUGGAGGAUCCUGCUGUCAGAAGAUUCCUGGCCUGGGACGUAAACUUUAGAGUCUCUGAUAAGUACCUGUUGGCCAUGGUUAUUGUGUACUUCAGCCGUGCUGGACUCUUCCCCUGGCAGUACCAGAGGAUCCAUUUCUUCCUGGCCCUGUACCUGGCCAAUGACAUCGAGGAGGAUGACGAGCUUCAGAAACUACACAUGUUCUUCUUCCUCUAUGGGAGGAACAUGGCACGGAUUCCAAAGUUCUACAAACUGCGCCAAGAGUUCAUCUGCUGCAUGGACUGGGAUCUCAGGGUGACAAGAGAGGAGUGUGAGGAGAUCCAAGCUUAUGAUCCUGGGCUGUGGGUGUGGAGGCGAGAUCGCACCUGCACUGUGGGCUCCCUGGAGCCUUGAGGACACUGGCUUGAAGAAGAUCUGUGGGCCUAGGGGAACAAUGAAAUAGAAUCACCAGAGAGCACUUCUUGGAGCUGGGAAGUUACUGGGGAAAAGGAAGAUCUGGUUCUCCAUCACCUUCUAUAUUCUACAUUCCUCGUUCAAGUUUCCCCUGAACUAGAAGGAUCAAACUCAGGUCCUCGUGCUUGUGAGGCAGGUGGUGGAACCACUGACCUAAUUCCGUGGCCCUGUGUGAUGAAGUCUUAAUGCCUUGUGUGGGCUGUUGGAAAACAUGUCAGAGAUGGAAGUACCAAGUAACCUUCACACAGAUCCUAAAGAAAGGACAGGCUUAACAUCAACACGUUGCAGGAAUGGACCAAAGCAAGAGGGUGGAAGUCACACAAAUGUCCCCUUAAGAAUAAAUGGCUAUAGCGGCACAGUUUGUAAUAGCUAAAUCUUGGAAACAACCUA